This is a long non-coding RNA of Cavia porcellus (domestic guinea pig), 5777 nucleotides long. RefSeq lists it as uncharacterized. The transcript is spliced from 3 exons. The record is from RefSeq and is a predicted model, not a curated record. NCBI's taxonomy places the organism in Eukaryota, Metazoa, Chordata, Mammalia, Rodentia, Caviidae.
CACAUCGCGAAGCAGGAGCCACCCUGGGAUUCCUCAGAUGAAAGCCGAUUUCAAUGAACAUUGUGUUUCAAAGCCUGCUUCCUCUGGCCCUGUAAGGGCUGCAGAAGGAACGAACAUCCCACUUGCGUCUGCCGACACAAAAGAAUGCUGUGGCUGGGAGAUCUUAUCGAGCCUUCCUGUGCCACAGCAACAGAGCUCCGGUUGUGUCUCCUAAGAAUUGCUCAUUGUUUCAUGGGGACGACUGGCUCCUUUGGGUGGGAUCUGAUGGCAUCUCAUGGAGUUGGAGCAGAGAAGAAAUCACGAAGCUAAAAUAGAAACCAGGGGAAGAUGGAGGUGCUUCAAGGUGGCAACCGUGGUACAAAAGUGAGGAAACCAUCAUGAUUAAAUCUACCUCCCUACUCCAGAGAAGUCAGAAGUUAUCACCAGGGUCAGAGAGAAUCAGAGAAGGCCAUGGAAUGAAUGACGAGGAAGAGGAGGUGUGUUUCACCACAUACACAGGAUCUGAAAAGCCUCUGAAACUUAAGGCAUGUCUGACUCAUGAUAUCAGCCCUCCCUUACUUUUCUGAAAUAAUCCACAACUGUCAAGCAUUUUGUCUUAUUUGUAUUCUCAGUCCUUACUGAUGCCUGAAAACUCACGGUGCUUUGGCAGCAAGUCACAGUGAUGUGAGAAAAGACAGUAAGCAUCACUACAGCUAGGUUCUCUCAGAUACUUCGGUGGGAUGGUGCUGUUCUCUGAAGUACACCUUCAUAAGUGCAUUUGCAUCCAUUUCACAUGAAGUUGCUAUUUGUUCCCCAGCACUAACUCGUGUUUUGUUCUGGGAGUGACAAACUAUGUCAAGGUCAUGACGUUUCUGUCUGCAGGAUAUUCCACCUUCUGUUGCUCAGUCAUGUGUGAACCUUGAGAGACAAAAAAAAAAAAAAAAAAAAAGGCAACAGAUUCGUGUAUUUGCUCUCACAACACACUUCUAGAAUCAAAAGAGUGAGUCAAACAGGACUCUCUACAGUGCAGCAGGAGAUCUAUAGUUCGUAACAAUUUAUUAUAUACUUUAUGAAGAAGAAGAAGAAGAAGAAGAAGAAGAAAGAGUUUAAGACUCUCAACGGUCUCUGUCUCUCUGUCUUUCUGUUUCUCUCUGUAUCUGUCUGUCUCUUUCUUUCUCUUACACACACACAUAGAGUGAGAAAUGUUAAAGGAGAUGGAAAUACUGGUUACAAUAAUUUGAUCAUAAAACAUUGUAUAGGUGCAUGCUGUACCUCACAAAUGCAUACAACCUUUUAAAGGGUACAAAAAAGUGAUAGUCUUCUUAAACACAUCUUCUUUUAGGUUCUCAUCUUGCCGUUCUGAAAUAAUGUUCAUAGAUGCUUUCGCUAGAGUAGGCUGUGUGUUAGAUCUUUUUUUAAAUUUUUUUUUGUCUUUUUUUUCAUUUUUAUCAUGCAGAUGAAAAGGAUCGAACUCACGACUGCCUGCUUGCAAGGCAGGUACUUAUGCCGCUGAGCUAAAUGUGUGUUAGAUCUUAAUUCUCAGAAACCAUGGAGAUUGUACUCUUAGCAGCUUAUUUAUGUGCGUUUUGAGUGUGCCAGCCUUUAUUAACUCUUUGGUACACUAUUUGGUAAUAUUAACAAUUUAUUCAUAGCUCAAUGUUAGUUUUUGUAGGGAACCAGACUUCACUCAGUCCUCUGAGAAAUUGUCAUUGCAUACCUUUAGGAAGCAACAGAAACUGGAUGGCAUAAGAACUGACCUCAUUUCUGGCUGUGCUGGCGCAUCAUGCUUGGUAACUUCCUUUCCUGGUACCUCUCUCCUGAGCUGGGACCCUGAGUGCCCCACACCUGCAUCUGAUGCUCCUGGGAAGCCUAGAUAUGGAUAGGAGAUGGAGCCAGUGAGAGGUUGGCUUUGCUCUGCCCUUCCACACAUGACCAAAACAUAUUUGCUUUGUCUAGGUCUUGAGUCACCGUAGGGUUAGGGAAUAGACCUGCCCUUGUGUUUAAUCACCUGUCUUUCCUGUAACACAAUAACUUGAAAUACUAUUCAAUAAAAAGUACAACUCUCCUAUAAGUUUUCUGAAAUGUUUUCUAUAGAAAGAUUGCUGUUUCUUUAAUUAAUUUUAAGCAUUUGUUUAUUGGUCCCCCCAAAUGAAUGCAAAGAUGAGAAGUUUUAAAUUUUAAAUAUCCUGAAAGGUUGCAGUCCUGGUUAAAUUUUUGCACAAGACAAGUCAUAGACAAUUACAGAGAAGCAACCAUAUUCUUAGAAAGCUUCUCAUUCCAGACUCAACUGGGUCAGUCCUGAGGUUAUUCUGGGAGCUGAGUACUUUAUUCACUUUCUGAAUCAGAUUCUGACACAUAUUUUUUACACUGUCUUGGUCUUUUUUUGAAAAACUGACAGGCAUACGGAAAAGUUAAUAGCUUGGUGAAUAUAAUGUGCUUAUGUCUGCAAACAAUAGAGAUGUUGAAAAGGUGCCCUAUUUUUUUUUACUGUGAAUCUUCCUAGGAGCAUUAAAAAUGCAAACUCAAAGCUGACAUUAAAAAAGUGCAAGAGUUUGUGGCCCUUCUAUCUUCAUUUUCAUUUAGUCAUGCAAUGUUUUAACUUUUUUGAGACAAAACCACUUAGAUCUCAGGCCCAGAUUAUGUAUUAGACAAUUUGAUCUAUAGAAUUAAAAGGGGGGAUAAGAUUCUUGGGAAAAUAUAGUUUCUGUGAAAUAUAAGCAUAUUUGAUCAACACGACUAUUUACACAUUAUUUCUGUACUAAUAUAAAGGUAAAGCUGAGGUGGUUGUCAUCUGAAUGACCUGAAGGCCUUUUAUCAAUGCUUCAUAAAUGCAAAUGAGAUGAUACAACUUAAGGAGCUAUGAACAAGACUGACCUAAAUAAUAGGGUUGUUUUGUCACUAAUAAUUUCUUGUUUUGUACAAUUCUUGCAGUGAUGUUUCAGUAUGUUUUUGUAAAAUAGCUGCCAAACUAUGAAAAUUGCCUGAUAGUUCAUAAAACAAUUCGUCAUCUUCAAAUUAAACAUGAGUACAUUGUUUUAUGGCAUGAAAAGUCCCGUUCCUUAGACUGCUAUCCCAUCUGUCCACACUUCUCUGACAAUUUUCCACAAGGAGAAAGACAAUUAGAAAGACAAUUUAGAAAGACAAUUUUUGAAGGGGUGUGUAAACUCAUGGAAAGAACAGAAACUCUUCCUGUUAACAGGUUUUGAUGUGAUCAAUGGGAUCACAUCAACGGGGCAGAUUCCCUUCCGGAAGAUUUUGCCUGGAAUCCUCUUUCUCCAUUUGUGCAUAGCUGCCACGUUCUUGUCCUGUUUGAAGGUCACCCUGGAAUGAUCUUUCCGACCAUUGAAUCUAAUUGCAUAUUUGAUUGUAUAAUUGUCCAUGCAGCACUUACUGCUGAUACCUCAGGGUUCGAUUUGUGUAGUGAUAAUCUCCUUUGACUUGAAGAGCGUAAACUGUGUUCCACUCAUGCUAUAAUCCAUCACCUUGAGUGAUGUUGGCAGGUGUUAUGAUUUCAGCUGUGUCUCCCAAGCUGUGCUUUUGUUAAUGUCCUAACCCACAAUAUCUCAGAAUAACCUUGUUUGGAAUAUCUUCUGCAGAUAUAGUUAAGAUGUGGUCAUAAGGAAUAAGAUGUGUCCACAAUCCCCAAAGAUAACUACUCUCAUAAGAAAAGGAGAGAGAAGCACACAAAAAAACACUGUGUGGAACACAGACACCUGGAUAAGUUGGCCACGUGAAAAGGAGGCAGAGACUGGAAUCUUACAGCCACAAACCAAGGCACUGUGGGUACAAGAAGUCUGAAGAAGCAAACCAGGACCAUUCCCCAGAGCUUCCAUACAGCAAGGCCCUGUCAGCACCCCAAUUUUCCCUUCAGAUCUGAGGAUGACGUUCUGCCUUUGAGCCAGCACCAAAUAUCUGCUUUGAAAAUGAAACUAAAAAAAAUAUAUUUUUGUAAGCAAAACACACUGUAAACAUACCACCAUUCUACUGUAGCUUGUUAUUUUGGUCUGAAAUAAUACUGCUAAAAUUUUAUCAGCAAUAUGUGUAGGAGAAAGAUUUUUACCAUAAUUUUGUGCUCAUUAUUUCAGUAAAUUUGUAAGAUUCAGCUGGCAUCAUUCAAUAAUUUAAAAAUGCAUUACAUUUUUUUCUGUUUUGUUUUGUUUUUUCUUUUUUCUUACUUUUUUGCAAUAAGGAUAGUAUACAUUUGAUGCCCUGUAGAGAAUGUGCUAGUUGAACGGAAGCCAACUCUAGUCUUUCAAGAGAAAUUUACACGCCACUCCCAGGUGGGAAGAUUGAAAAACAAAACAAGAAGAAUCAGUGUCAAAAAUGAUGAAGAAAGAUAUUCUGGGGUCACAAUUCUCAACAUUUGCAUGACCAAAAUGAAGAGAGCUAAGAAAAUACAAAUCAAGGCCAGGCAUAGUGGUACAUGUCUGUAAUCCCAGCUUUUGGAAGGCUGAGGCAGGAGGAUUAUAGAAUGAAUUUGAGGCCAGCCUGGGCUACAAAGUAAGUUCAAGGACAGCCUGCUGAACUGCAUAGUAAAACCCUGUCUUAGAAACACAAAAACAAAACAAAACUAAACAAAACCCACACAAAUUCAAAAUACAUUCGCUGUUAAAAUUGAUUUUUAGUGAAUAUUUUUAAAAAUUUGAAAUCACUUAAAGAAUAGUCAUAUGCAUAUGUGCACAUGUGUGGGACCUGACAAAUUUUUAUUAUGAAGCCCUUUGUAAAGCUACUAUAGCAAGAAGAUCUUCGAUUUAUACCAAAUAACAUCUCACAGAUCAGUGAUAGUUUCUUCUUUUGGUCUUUGAUAACAUAAAAACAAGUUCUUCGGAAGGGUUAUUGUCCUGUAAUUGCAAUUUACUUGCCUGUACGUAAUACAUAGAAUUAAACACAAAGAAGCAAAUGGAUGUACUCAAAACAAAGAGCAGGCUUUGCAGAGAGUCCCGUGCAGGGUUGGGAGUAUUUCCUGACACUAGAUGAGAAGCAUUCACAUCAUGGUUUGUCAUCUAUACUGUCUGGCCCGGUGUCUCCUAACUUCCUGGAAUAAAACUAAACUAAGCAAAACAAUAAAAAUGUCAAUUCUCUGUGUUUUGGAAUUCCAAACUCCUCUUACUGGAACACUAAAUCUUUCAACGUUACUGGAUAAUGUGCCUUCAAAAUUAACAGCGUUUUUAUGGUUUGUUUUUAAAGGGUAGUGUUUUGAGCACGCAUCACAUAUACUUUAACAGCUGAUUUUAAAUAUUACUCUCAGCUUCUGUUAAUCUUUGCAUUAAAAGCAAAAUAUUGACUCAUUAAAAUUAACCUUUGAUUUUAAUUCUGUAAAUGCCUCCAAAAACUUACUUUCUCUGAAAUUUUAAUGGAGUUUUGCAUGUGAGUGCGUAAUAGGGAAAAAAGCAAUAUAAAACCAGUUGUAACUUUAUUCCGUGAAUUUAUCAUUCAUGCCUUCCAAAUAGACUUGUUACCCAAAUGAUUUGCAAAUCUGAUUCAGUGUUUUCAUUUAUAAGGAAGACUAUCUUCUAAAGAAGGGGUUGUAUUUUGUCAGAACUAUUACCAAUAACCAUAUUACCAUCACAUUUUUCAGUUUGUUCAAGAUCCAGCAUUAUCUGUUGGUUGGCAAGAUGCCACAGUGUACAGAUCGUUACAGUUGGAAUAGCUGGUUCAGUUCUGCAAGAACUGGGGGAUUCAUAUCAUCAGGGGAGAACUUCUGUGUGCUAAGCUUUCAUGACAUGUAGACUGACAGAGUAACAAAAUAGUAUUGUUACAGAAAUCUGAAUAAAUCCAUUAAAGCCUUUGCUUUCCCA